Molecule: unclassified non-coding RNA, 1089 nt
Filed under: Hevea brasiliensis (rubber tree)
Lineage: Eukaryota; Viridiplantae; Streptophyta; Magnoliopsida; Malpighiales; Euphorbiaceae
Source: RNAcentral
GCUGGUUUAAAGUGUUUUUGUGUGACAGUGAUAUUAAGUCCCUGUAUGUUUUGUGGAAAAUAACUUAUCUGCAAAAACUAUUUUAGAAGGAAAACAAAUUUUAAGAAAUGACUUGUUUUAUACUGUUUGAUUAUAAUUUCAAUAUUUUUUGGUUUUUAAUGUAAACUGAAUAACAUUAAUUUUCUUUAAAUAAACCAGACUAUGAAAAUAUUUGGUUAAUUUUAAUAAAAUCCUAGCCUAUUCUGCAUAAUGAGGUUUUUAAUAAAUCAAGCAAAAAAAUUUAAACAAUUAAUGUUUUAUCCAAGUUUGAGCUUGACCCUUUCUUUGGUGGGCCAAGCUUGAGCUUGCAAGAUGAAGUUUGAAUUGAGCUUGAGUGCUGAGCUCAAGGCCUAGUAAAAUAUAGGGAAGCCCUAAACACUAUCGAGAUUAGCUCAGCUCAACUCACUUGUAUUAAUAGCCCUAUCCUUUAGGGUAGCCUAUUUGCACUAUUUUUACUUUUGUUCUUCACAUCAUGACAACAUGGAAGUUCAUUAAUAAAAUAUACACUCUAAGCUAGAAGAAAAUUGCAAUCUCUUUUUGCUGUCCUAAAAGUAAAGCUUGCACAAAAAACAGAUAGAAGAAAUUCUAGUUCAAUGAAUCUCAAGAUGAUUCCUACUAAAAAGAUCACAAUAUAACCAUUGAUCAUAAUUUGAUUGAUCAUAAUUUGCAUUUAAGCUCAUUUACAAAGCUCAAAUAAAGUGGAAGAUAUAAGAGGAUAUAAUUAGUUAAAGGAGGUUUAUGGAAGUAGCAAGGUUCAUUAGCAUUUCAAUACAUGAAAGCACACCUUAAAUUCAGUUAUAUCAAAUUUUUCCACUUCCAUUUUAAUCUUAGAGAUUCAGCAAAAAUUCAUGGCUGUCCGCAUUAGUAGAAGUCGUGAAAACACAGCCAAGGUUCCAGCACAAUAACGCAUAUAUAUAUCAAUAAUGCUUGUCAUGUUGCGUUAGUUUUCUUAUUCAGAAGUAGUGAAAGCAAAGGGAGUGAAAAGGUGGAAAAAUCAAAAUUGCUAUAAAAUCCUUCAUCCACUAAAAAGUGAAAAGAAAAAAAAAAUGA